This 561-nucleotide ribosomal RNA is filed under the name uncultured archaeon. Its description in RNAcentral is "bacterial SSU rRNA". It matches the Rfam family "Archaeal small subunit ribosomal RNA", at positions 318 to 879 of the family's 1478-position model. The record is from RNAcentral.
UCGCCCUUCGGGGUGCACCAGGCGCGAAAACUUUACAAUGCCGGCAACGGCGAUAAGGGGACCUCGAGUGCCAGGUUACAAAUCUGGCUGUCGUGAUGCCUAAAAAGCAUUGCAUAGCAAGGGCCGGGCAAGACCGGUGCCAGCCGCCGCGGUAACACCGGCGGCUCGAGUGGUAACCGUUAUUAUUGGGUCUAAAGGGUCUGUAGCCGGCCGGAUAAGUCUCUUGGGAAAUCUGGCAGCUUAACUGUCAGGCUUUCAGGAGAUACUGUCUGGCUCGAGGCCGGGAGAGGUGAGAGGUACUUCAGGGGUAGGGGUGAAAUCUUGUAAUCCUUGAAGGACCACCAGUGGCGAAGGCGUCUCACCAGAACGGACCUGACGGCAAGGGACGAAAGCUAGGGGCACGAACCGGAUUAGAUACCCGGGUAGUCCUAGCCGUAAACGAUACUCGCUAGGUGUCGGCCACGGUGCGACCGUGGUCGGUGCCGUAGGGAAGCCGUGAAGCGAGCCACCUGGGAAGUACGGCCGCAAGGCUGAAACUUAAAGGAAUUGGCGGGGGAGCAC